RNAcentral lists this ribosomal RNA (1436 nucleotides) under bacterium WHC6-1. RNAcentral describes it as "bacterial SSU rRNA". It matches the Rfam family "Bacterial small subunit ribosomal RNA". The record is from RNAcentral.
AGAGUUUGAUCCUGGCUCAGAACGUACGCUGGCGGCACGCCUAACACAUGCAAGCCGAACGAAGUAGCAAUACUUAGUGGCAGACGGGUGAGUAACAUGUAGGUAUCUACCCUUUGGCCUGGAAUAACACGAGGAAACUUGUGCUAAUACUGGAUAAGUCUUUACGGAGAAAGCUUUAUGCACCAUUGGAUGAGCCUGCACUUGAUUAGUUUGUUGGUAGGGUAAUGGCCUACCAAGACUGUGAUCAAUAGCUGAUUUGAGAGGAUGAUCAGCCACAUUGGGACUGAGACACGGCCCAAACUCCUACGGGAGGCAGCAGUGGGGAAUCUUGCACAAUGGAGGAAACUCUGAUGCAGCGAUGCCGCGUGAGUGAAGAAGGCCCUUGGGUUGUAAAGCUCUUUCGUCGGGGAAGAAAAUGACUGUACCCGAAUAAGAAGGUCCGGCUAACUUCGUGCCAGCAGCCGCGGUAAUACGAAGGGACCUAGCGUAGUUCGGAAUUACUGGGCUUAAAGAGUUCGUAGGUGGUUGAAAAAGUUGGUGGUGAAAUCCCAGAGCUUAACUCUGGAACUGCCAUCAAAACUUUUCAGCUAGAGUAUGAUAGAGGAAAGCAGAAUUUCUAGUGUAGAGGUGAAAUUCGUAGAUAUUAGAAAGAAUACCAAUUGCGAAGGCAGCUUUCUGGAUCAUUACUGACACUGAGGAACGAAAGCAUGGGUAGCGAAGAGGAUUAGAUACCCUCGUAGUCCAUGCCGUAAACGAUGUGUGUUAGACGUUGGAAAUUUAUUUUCAGUGUCGCAGGGAAACCGAUAAACACACCGCCUGGGGAGUACGACCGCAAGGUUAAAACUCAAAUGAAUUGACGGGGACCCGCACAAGUAGUGGAGCAUGUGGUUUAAUUCGAAGAUACGCGCAGAACCUUACCAACACUUGACAUGUUCGUCGCGACUCUAAGAGAUUAGAGUUUUCGGUUCGGCCGGACGAAACACAGGUGCUGCAUGGCUGUCGUCAGCUCGUGUCGUGAGAUGUUGGGUUAAGUCCCGCAACGAGCGCAACCCUCACUUUUAGUUGCCAUCAUUAAGUUGGGCACUCUGAAAGAACUGCCAGUGAUAAGCUGGAGGAAGGUGGGGAUGACGUCAAGUCCUCAUGGCCCUUACGUGUUGGGCUACACACGUGCUACAAUGGUAUCUACAACAGGAAGCAAGACUGCGAAGUUAAGCAAAUCCCUAAAAGAUACCUCAGUUCGGAUUGCACUCUGCAACUCGAGUGCAUGAAGCUGGAAUUACUAGUAAUCGUGGAUCAGCGUGCCACGGUGAAUGCGUUCCCGGGUCUUGUACACACCGCCCGUCACACCAUGGGAGUUGGUUCUACCUUAAGGCAAGGUUUCAAACCCUUGACCACGGUAUAGUCAGCGACUGGGGUGAAGUCGUAACAAGGUAACC